Molecule: long non-coding RNA, 290 nt
Organism: Gossypium arboreum
Lineage: Eukaryota; Viridiplantae; Streptophyta; Magnoliopsida; Malvales; Malvaceae
Exons: 2
Source: RefSeq, a predicted model, not a curated record
GUUAAUAAAUACGUUCAAUGCGUUAAGUUGGACAGAUUGUUGAAUUUGGCCUUUUGCUCGGGGAUCGUCAGCAACUUGUCACACUAUCACUAUCCACUGCUUGGUACUGCUAUGUUUUGGAUUAUCUUAUGGCAUGUAUAGAAUAGACUAGUGGCGGAAGAAUAGUUUGGUUAAUGUAUAUAAGCCAUGCGAAAAUGGCAUCUUUUGAAUGUUUACUUAGAGAAGUUUAAAUUUUAUCCCUGGCUGUGCUUAGUACUUAUUUAAAUGAAUGAUCUUUAUUUCAAGAAAAA